Molecule: long non-coding RNA, 780 nt
Organism: Puntigrus tetrazona (Sumatra barb)
Lineage: Eukaryota; Metazoa; Chordata; Actinopteri; Cypriniformes; Cyprinidae
Exons: 3
Source: RefSeq, a predicted model, not a curated record
AAUGGGAUAUGGGUUGGGCACUACAAGUCCCAGCAGCCCCAGGGCUCUUAAAAGGAAGUAGUAAGGUUGUGUUUGUUCUUUUCACUUCCGGGUUUUUGAUUUUGGGGAAAGGUGGCGUGGAAUGUAGAGUGGCAUGUAGUGGUGUGACUGGAUUAUUGCCUGACUGUGGCCUGACCAUCUUGUCGAAAUAGUGGAUGUGAAAGGGAUGCAUGGUUACCGUUUACUUUAUGGUUAAAAUAUUGUUUUGUUUCGUUUCUUUAUUACCUUUUGUUUGUAAGUGUGGAGAUCCGGAGUGGUAGAGAUUGAGGUACUAGUGAAUGUGUUUGGUUGUUGAUUUUAUGUUUGUGUACCUUGUAUUGCCCACUGUUAAUUGUGUUUUGUUUAGACGGCGGUGGUUAUCGGGUUGCCCUCACAGUGUGGAUGACAGUGGUAAGGUGGCUGGGAUUGUGUGGUGGUUUGGUCACUGUAUUUCUGUGUCUUCUGUAGGUUUGCAGUGUGAUUGCUGUGAGCUUGGCUGCUGUGAGAACACUUUGGCUUCUAGGCCCUUCUUUCACUUUCUUAGGCAACCUGUGGCCACCUAGGGCCAGUUUUCUUUUAUUUCUUUUUCUUUAUUUUGUGGGCAUUUACAUCCAAAAGGGUAUGUGAUAUGUUUUAACAUGUUUGACUUGUCUGUAAUAAAAAUGUAUUUGAUUCUUUAAAGUCACCUCAUGGCCCCUUCUUUUGGUUAUUGACACAGUGAUUGGUCAUCAUACCACAAUUGGCGUAGUCGGCAGGAUCUGU